Molecule: non-coding RNA, 249 nt
Organism: Pelobates cultripes (western spadefoot toad)
Lineage: Eukaryota; Metazoa; Chordata; Amphibia; Anura; Pelobatidae
Source: the annotation of a GenBank genome assembly
CGAAGCAGCCUACAGCUAGAGGAGAACACUCACGGCACGUUCCUGAGAUAUCUGCCACCACCGACCUUUGCUCUGGACCCUCUCUUUCUGAAUAUUGCCAUCUGCUGUCUGUACCACACGCUUGCCUUCUCCCAUUAACCCUAGCUCACCCUGGGGGGCAAGGGUCCUCUGCCCACCCAGCUUACUAUAUAGUUGGGGAGGUCUCUGGGGCAAAAUAAUCUGCUGUAACUACCAACCGUUUAUCAUAAU